This 2357-nucleotide long non-coding RNA is filed under the name Ornithorhynchus anatinus (platypus). Its description in RNAcentral is "lncRNA (ENSOANG00000044823.1)". The record is from RNAcentral. Lineage: Eukaryota; Metazoa; Chordata; Mammalia; Monotremata; Ornithorhynchidae.
GUAGAGGGAGCCGGCCGACUUCCCCCUUCCCCGCGGCCGCCGCCCCCCCGGCCGCGCGCUAUUGGUUGGGGCCGAGCGUUCGCGGGGCUCGAGGGCGGAAGUGGGGCAGGUCGAGGCGCUGCAUAUUCAUGAGGCGCGCGCAGGCCCGCCUGUUAAUGAGGGCAGGGCGGGCGGGCUGAGGCGGGCGCGCGGGCGGGCGGGAGGGAGGGAGGAGGCGCGCGCGCGUGGGCGCGGGGCGGAGGGGCCGCAGCCAUGGAGCCGCCCGCCGCGGGGUCGGGGCCGGGGUCGGGGCCGGGGUCGGGGCCGGUCCCGGGCCGCGGAGGCCGGGACAAGAAGAAGGGCCGGAACCCGGAGGAGCCGCCCGCCGCGGGGGGCGGGGGCGACGGCAGCAAGUCCAAGAAAUUCGGAAGAUAGUAUUCCCCCUCCCUCCCCAAUGUGGGGAGGGAUGACCCAAGUCCAAGAAAUUCGUGAGUAAUCUUAUUACUUCUUAUACAUUUCCCGUGAUAACCGUGUUGUCAGUUUUCCACUAGCCCCUCCUUUCCCCCCCCCCGCCUCCCUCCUCCCCAGUCAUUCCAUAUGCCACUAAUAAAUCCCCCGAUCUAGCCCCUCACCAUCUUCCCUAACCCCAGCCCCCCGCCCCUCUUUACUGUGAUGGGAAACUAAACUGUUUCUAUUGGAGAAUCUGGGCAAGGCCCCCUUGCCCCUAAAGAGUGAUCUCCAUGUAAUCUUUGACCUGAUCCAUUUUCGUGUUCAUAACUCCCCUCUCCCACUAAACCACCCCCCACCGCCACAUCCCAACCAACUCUUCUGUCCUGGGGACUGUUCAGUUUGGAAAGACUCGGAGCCCUCUGGCCCCCGUGACAGAAGAAGGGCGAGGGGUAAAGCCAAGUUCCUCCUGGAGUACCCGUUUUGUGCAAGUUGUGACUGUUUCAAAGGGCCUUCUCCCUGACCUUUGCCUUCUCCCCCUCCCUGUCCCACAGUUGGUUUUUUUGGUAACUUUUUCCUCCUCCUCCCUGAUUCUUGCUCCCCCUCCUUCCCACUUUCCACUCUGUCCUCCCCCUACGUGCGUGAGAAGAGAGAGAAGGUGAUAGGACGUUGACGUGGGGUGUUGCGGGGUGGCUUGGACAUGAGCAGAGCGGUGGCCCAGUGAAUCUGUCCUCCCUCCAGCAAGGCCCAGGGUCCUGAUGGUUGCUUUUUUUCGCCGCGAACUGAUUUAUUUCGUUUCCCACGUUUGCCUCUCUUGCUGUUGACCGGCCCCGUAUGGGUUGUGCGGGCUGGUGACCCCCAUCUCUCUCCGGGCCCCGACUCCUCCACCCCCCGACCGGUUCCGUGGUGGGGCCGGUCCGCGAUGCCGGGCGGCGUGGGCCGGACGGGCCGAUGGAAUAGGACCUCCCGCCCUCCCUUUGCAGAGACUGUAACAUUCCCGGCCCCCCCAUGUGAAUUUCUUCGGUCCCUCCAGGUCUCCACCCUCCUCAGAUUCCUUUGGUCCUCGCAGAACUCCAGCUUCUUGCUCGGCACGGGGGCCCACUAAGGUCACCCCUGCCCUUUCCACCGAGUCCGGCCCUGGCCCGUCGCCACUGCUUUCACCUGUGUAGGGCGAGGCGCCUCUGAUAUUCCAGUCGGCUCCGUCCCACCUGAAUGUGGAAUGUGGACGGGGGACUGAGUUUCUCCUCCACCUUCGUAGAGUGGAUUUGGCAGGAGUUGUUUGCGUUUGUUUAGAGGCCGGGUGGGGGGAGGUGAACUUGCCCUUUCUGGAGUUGUGGGGCUUAACCCUUCUCUCCCUGGAGUUUUGGGUCCGGUCUUACCACCCGGGGGGUUGGGGUUUGUCCAACAAGAAGCGCCGUUUGUUGAACCUUUUCAUUUAUGACAAAACAGGUAGACGACUGUAGUCGCCUUCAGAGAGCGACUGUGGGAACACAAGAGGAAGGAGGACUCAGGAACCUCUGAAGUUCCUUUUUCCCCGCCAGAAUGGGUUUGGGGGAGAACGAGACUUCUGGCACGCUGGCUCUGCCUCAGCCUCAGAAGGAGAUUUUGGGGUUCUCAGCCGGGAGGUACAGAAUCCUCAGGAGACAGCUCGGCUCUGUUCCCUAGAUGCCGGAUCACCGACCAAGUUCCUGUCCCAGAGGGCCAGGCAGUGUCUCUUUUGAAGCUCCCUGCAGCGUGCUGAUCGAGGGCCUCUGAGUAUUUCCGUCCCCGGCCCCGAGCAUCACUGAUGCCGUGAGGAGGUGCCGGGGCGGCUUCUGACACCCGCUCUUGGCGGGUCCCCGUGUUCGCCGGGGGUGGGAGAGGAGGGAGGAGCUGCUGGGUGAAGAGGCAGCUGUGGCUUCCCAACCAGCAGAGGAAGUGGACGGGAGUGG